This is a long non-coding RNA of Meriones unguiculatus (Mongolian gerbil), 2144 nucleotides long. RefSeq lists it as uncharacterized. Lineage: Eukaryota; Metazoa; Chordata; Mammalia; Rodentia; Muridae. The record is from RefSeq and is a predicted model, not a curated record. The transcript is spliced from 6 exons.
CUGAGGCUGAUUCACUGAGGAGGGUUCCCCGCAAUGGGCGAGAGAGGAGCAGAAUACUGUUCUAGGCAUGGGGACACACAGCUUCUGCGUACUAUCUAAUCCGGCUGCAGACCAUAAAGGUCCCGACCUUGGGUGAAACUGUUUACUGUCCUCUGUGCAAAGGCACUGGAUCACAUUAACAGAUUUGCCAAGGGAUCCGAGGAAAAGUGUCCAGCCUCCGUCAAAAGCAAUCAUCCUCAGAAGGGCAUGCAUCCUACUUCCCUGAAACACUGUCACUCCCAAUGGAGAAACUGAAAGCCAGAGAAACAAGUAACUCUCUCAAGAUCUCACAGUUACAAACCUGCAUUCCGAGUCUGCAGACAAAUCAUCUCACCGCCUGGCCUAGGACUCCCUCCUGAGUGCUGCCAUGAAAGCAGUGAGAACCUCAAGAUAAGGAUUGCUGUCUCCUCUGUUGGAAGAAAAUCGCUGGUUCUCUUGUCCCUUCCUGACCAGCUGGAAUGUCAUAAACCUCACUAAUGUGAGUUCCCACCACGAGCUUAACGACGACACGGACAGACAUGUCAAAGUAGAUGGGGAAAGCCUACAAGGCCUCAGCUCUACACGAAGAGCCACAGAAGCUAAGGAAUGCUGAGAAGCAGGAGAGACGGUCUUCUCCAGAGAAGAGCACACCAGCUGGUUAUCCAACACCACAUGGUCAGCCCUGAAAACACCCAGACGAAUAACAUUGUGCAGACUGAGCAGGUUAUACGUGAUAUUCAUGAAAUAGCAAUUCAUGGCAAAAGAAGCCAUGAUCUGAAAGAGAGCAGGGAGGGGCAUAUCGGAGCAUGUAGAGGGAGGAAAGGGGAGGGGAAAACUGGAAAAGGAAAAAGGAAAAGAAUUAUUGGGGUGGUUUUCCUGUUAACUGCUUCAGAACAACAGGACACCUGACAAAAACCACUUAGGGAAGUAAGGAGCCUAAUUGGUCUGAGGCUAGAAUCCAGCAUGGUGGGGAAGUCUUGGUGGCAGGAAAGCAAGGCAGCUGGUCACAUUGCAUCCGCAGGGAGGGAGCAGAGAGUGGUCAAUCAGGCCAUCUUCUAAAAGAUAAAACAAAACGAAAAACAAACCCCAUGACUUGCUUGUUUCCUUCCUUCCUCCAUCCCUUCUUCCCUUCUUCUCUUCCUACAUCCCUUCCUUCUUUCCUUCCUUCCUUCCUUCCUUCCUUUCUUUCUUUCUUUCUUUCUUUCUUUCUUUCUUUCUUUCUUUCUUUCUUUCUUUCUUUCUUUCCUUCUUUCAAGUUUUGUGUAUGGGUCCUUUGCCUCCAUGCAUGUCUGUGUACCGUGUGCAUGCCUGAUGCACUCAGAGGCUGGGAGAGGGCAUCAGAUCCCCUGAGACUGGAGUUACAGAUAGUUAUUAACCACCAUGUAGGAGCUGAGAAUCAAACCCAGGUCGUCUGGAAGAGCACCCAGUGCUCUUAACUUCUGAGCCAUCUCUCCAGCCUCUUUCUUUCUUUCUUCCUUUCUUCUUUUCUUCCUUUCUUCCUUUCUUUCUUUCUGUUGGAGCACAUGAAUAGUGGCACCCUAUUUGGGUAAAUCUUCUCAUUUUAGUUAACUCAGUCUAGAUAACCCCUCAUUCAAAGCUUGCCUUCUUCAUGUUUACAAAUUCUGUCACUAUUAGCUGCCACAGCUUCGCAGUUCUGAUGUAAGCAACUGGGAGAGCGAAGCAAGGCUAAGGCUGUGGGGAUGUCAUGCCAGGGGAAGGUCAGGAGUUUCCUUUCAUAGACUGAGCCACCUCAGCAUUCGGCUGGGGAAACCUGAUAGACCUGCACUUGAAGGUUUCUGGGAGAGAAGGCAUCCAGAUCUGGAGCUCACCCAGAAGGCUUGGGCUUGGGGAUGGAAAACCAAGAGUUAGCCUUGGGCUAAGGGAAGCUCUCUCACCCAGCAGGGAGAUGCAGUUGUAUCAGUGACAAGGACCAGAGACCAAGUGCAGGACAUGGGCUGCUCCGCAUCUGGGAGACGAGGUGGCUACAGCUGUGAGACCUGUCGGGGAAGUCGAUGAUGCACAGCAGGGUCAGGUUGAGGGUCCAGCGGAACUUUCCAGCCCUGUGCUCUGUUAGGUGCUUCAAGCACACUUGAAAAGAAGAAAGUAAAUAAAGCUCAAGGAAUGUC